UAAGAAUAAUGAGUUGGCAAAUUUGUUAGAGACAGCUGUAUAGUUCUUUGUAUAAAAACAGUAGAAGAGUCUCGAAUAGAAGCAGUUACAAUUUCACAAUAUUUUCUCUCAUUCUCCUAUCCUUUCAAGUUUAAUUUGGGGUUGUAUGGGGACAAAGAACAUAUAAUUCACUUACCUUGAUAUGUGGUAUGGUGGGGGGGUAGGCUCCUUUGGAUUGCUUAGUCGGAACAAAAUAUGUUUAUAUGGGAUGUGAGUGCUUCUUGGAUUUGCAUAAAAAAUGCCUCAUUAGCAUUAGAUAGAAGUAGUUUUUAUGUAUUCUAUCCUUAAGUACAACAAUAUAGUUUCAAUUUUCAAUGCAUGUUUACUAGGUCAAUGCUAUCAAAAAUAAAUGUUAUCCAAAUCCCAAAAUUCAAAGCAAUAUAAUUAUAAAUAUAUAAAAUUUUUGUGACUUAGAUUGUGUGCUUCUUGUCCAUAGGUGUUUGAAUGUUGGAACAUUGAUUUCAGGAUUCCAGGGUUUCAAUGGUCCAUGAUUUGGAUCAUAGAUUGCUAGGAGGAGCCUAUUUUGUUAACACUGAUUUAAUAUAGUUUUACAAUGUUUUAUUUUCUUUGAUUUAGGUAUGGCUAAUA
Molecule: unclassified non-coding RNA, 627 nt
Filed under: Hevea brasiliensis (rubber tree)
Lineage: Eukaryota; Viridiplantae; Streptophyta; Magnoliopsida; Malpighiales; Euphorbiaceae
Source: RNAcentral